Erpetoichthys calabaricus (reedfish) is the source of this 506-nucleotide long non-coding RNA. RefSeq lists it as uncharacterized. NCBI's taxonomy places the organism in Eukaryota, Metazoa, Chordata, Cladistia, Polypteriformes, Polypteridae. The record is from RefSeq and is a predicted model, not a curated record. The transcript has 3 exons.
UUCACUGCUUCAGGUUGUGGGUUCAAAUCCCGCUUCUGACACUCGGUGGGCAAAUCACUUCACCCGCCUGUGCCUCAAUUGGAAAAUUAAUUGGACAUUAAGGAGUGCAAGUUCAUGUUGGAUCACAUUUAGUCGUGUUGGGUAUUUUAUGUUGUUGUUAAUUGGAGGUUACCCAGUAAACAUCUGGAGCAAUGAUAGAGCCAGGGGGGCUACAGAGGAUGAUUGGCAUAGCAGUAGGUGCCCAUAAAAGACAAUCACUCCGUUUUUGGGUGAACAAUGUGGUACUGUGAUGCCAGGCUUUGCACUUCAGUGCAUCUGGUUAUGAGUUCAAAUCCCACUUCUGACACCCGGUGGGCAAAUCACUUCACCCGCCUGUGCCUUAAUUGGAAAAUUAAUUGGAUCUUAAGGAGUGCAAGUUCACCUCAGAUUAUAUUUAGUCGUGUCGGGCAUUUUAUGUUGUUGUUAAUUGGGGGUUACCCAGUAAAAAGCAAUGGAGCGAUGAUUGA